RNAcentral lists this ribosomal RNA (406 nucleotides) under uncultured bacterium. RNAcentral describes it as "partial 16S ribosomal RNA". It matches the Rfam family "Bacterial small subunit ribosomal RNA", at positions 30 to 526 of the family's 1533-position model. The record is from RNAcentral.
AUUGAACGCUGGCGGCAGGCCUAACACAUGCAAGUCGGGCUAGCGGCGGCCGGGUGAGUCAUGUAUUGGGAUCUGCCUGAUGGAGGGGGAUAACUCCUGGAAACGGUCGCUAAUCCCGCAUACCAUCAGAUGACCCCAUAUGGGAUUAGCUUGUAGUUCAGGUAACGGCUCACCUAGGCGACGAUCCCUAGCUGGUCUGAGAGGAGGAUCAGCCACACUGGAAUUGAGACACGGCCCAGACUCCUACGGGAGGCAGAAUUGGGGAAUAUUGCACAAUGGGCGCAAGCCUGAUGCAGCCAUGCCGCGUGUAUGAAGAAGGCCUUCGGGUUGUAAAGUACUUUCAGUCGGGAGGCGUUACCGACAGAAGAAGCACCGGCUAACUCCGUGCCAGCAGCCGCGGUAAUAC